Non-coding RNA from Pelobates cultripes (western spadefoot toad), 399 nucleotides. NCBI's taxonomy places the organism in Eukaryota, Metazoa, Chordata, Amphibia, Anura, Pelobatidae. The record is from the annotation of a GenBank genome assembly.
AGCAUGGCUUUCUGGCCCAAACUAGUUUCAGAGUCUUCUAUCCUGGAGAGUAAUUCAAUUAUCUCCCAGGACAGACACAAGACUCCAUUAAGCACAUGGUUGCAAAAAGACACAAAACACUUUAAAAUACAUAAAGUCACCUUUACACAUAAGACACAGACAUUUCACAUAUCCCCAGAUAGCUGGGAUCUGAGCGCACAAAACUACCGAAUAGCGCUCAGAUCCUAUUCACACAGUUCAACUGCCAUGGAGCCGAAGUCUUUAACUACACGAAUGGGCUCCAUGGCAUAGCUAUCUGGGUUAACACAUUCACAUAAAGUCUGGUCCAUAGUCCAAAGGCAAGAGGCGGGCAAGCAGCCCCCUCCAAGGACACGUGGCGAGGCCGGUUUCGCCACAGGG